Molecule: ribosomal RNA, 250 nt
Filed under: uncultured bacterium
Lineage: Bacteria
Description: partial 16S ribosomal RNA
Rfam family: Bacterial small subunit ribosomal RNA
Source: RNAcentral
UACGAAGGGGCUAGCGUUGUUCGGAGUUACUGGGCGUAAAGGGCGCGUAGGCGGCGCACCAAGUCAGGCGUGAAAGCCCUGGGCUCAACCCGGGAAUUGCGCUUGAGACUGGUGUGCUUGAGUACGGGAGAGGAUAGUGGAAUUCCCAGUGUAGAGGUGAAAUUCGUAGAUAUUGGGAAGAACACCGGUGGCGAAGGCGGCUAUCUGGACCGUAACUGACGCUGAGGCGCGAAAGCGUGGGGAGCAAACA